GGGCCCGUAGCUCAGUUGGUCAGAGCAACCGGCUCAUAACCGGUGGGUCACUGGUUCGAGUCCAGUCGGGCCCA
This 74-nucleotide transfer RNA is filed under the name bacterium. Its description in RNAcentral is "tRNA-Ile". It matches the Rfam family "tRNA". Rfam says of the family: Transfer RNA (tRNA) molecules are approximately 80 nucleotides in length. Their secondary structure includes four short double-helical elements and three loops (D, anti-codon, and T loops). The record is from RNAcentral.